AGUGAACGCUGGCGGCAGGCCUAACACAUGCAAGUCGAGCGGCAGCGCGGGGGCAACCCUGGCGGCGAGCGGCGGACGGGUGAGGAAUGCAUCGGAAUCUACCUCGGUUGUGGGGGAUAACCUCGGGAAACCGGGACUAAUACCGCAUACGACCUACGGGUGAAAGUGGGGGACCUUCGGGCCUCACGCGAUGAGAUGAGCCGAUGCCGGAUUAGCUAGUUGGCGGGGUAAAGGCCCACCAAGGCGACGAUCCGUAGCUGGUCUGAGAGGAUGAUCAGCCACACUGGAACUGAGACACGGUCCAGACUCCUACGGGAGGCAGCAGUGGGGAAUAUUGGACAAUGGGCGCAAGCCUGAUCCAGCCAUGCCGCGUGUGUGAAGAAGGCCUUCGGGUUGUAAAGCACUUUUGUUGGGGAAGAAACCGGUCGGAUUAAUACUUCGGCUGAAUGACGGUACCCAAAGAAUAAGCACCGGCUAACUUCGUG
This 485-nucleotide ribosomal RNA is filed under the name uncultured bacterium. RNAcentral describes it as "bacterial SSU rRNA". It matches the Rfam family "Bacterial small subunit ribosomal RNA", at positions 29 to 507 of the family's 1533-position model. The record is from RNAcentral.